GAUGAACGCUGGCGGCGUGCCUAACACAUGCAAGUCGAACGGAGCUGCUUUGAUGAAGUUUUCGGAUGGAUUUAAAACAGCUUAGUGGCGGACGGGUGAGUAACGCGUGGGUAACCUGCCUCACACUGGGGGAUAACAGUUAGAAAUAGCUGCUAAUACCGCAUAAGCGCACGGUUCCGCAUGGAACAGUGUGAAAAACUCCGGUGGUGUGAGAUGGACCCGCGUCUGAUUAGCCAGUUGGCGGGGUAACGGCCCACCAAAGCGACGAUCAGUAGCCGGCCUGAGAGGGUGAACGGCCACAUUGGGACUGAGACACGGCCCAAACUCCUACGGGAGGCAGCAGUGGGGAAUAUUGCACAAUGGGGGAAACCCUGAUGCAGCGACGCCGCGUGAGUGAAGAAGUAUUUCGGUAUGUAAAGCUCUAUCAGCAGGGAAGAAAGUGACGGUACCUGAAUAAGAAGCC
This 463-nucleotide ribosomal RNA is filed under the name uncultured bacterium. Its description in RNAcentral is "bacterial SSU rRNA". It matches the Rfam family "Bacterial small subunit ribosomal RNA", at positions 28 to 492 of the family's 1533-position model. The record is from RNAcentral.